This 386-nucleotide long non-coding RNA is filed under the name Mus caroli (Ryukyu mouse). RNAcentral describes it as "RIKEN cDNA 9330158H04 gene (MGP_CAROLIEiJ_G0006322.1)". The record is from RNAcentral. Lineage: Eukaryota; Metazoa; Chordata; Mammalia; Rodentia; Muridae.
GCGCGUCAGCGGAGGAAAAUAGGCUUGCAGAGGACUCCCUUCUCUCUCCUCCUGGAAACCUUCCCCAACCUUGUUCCCCCGCCAAGGAUUAGUUGCCGUUGAAGGGGGCUCCGCCAAUGAAAUCUUCUCUGCGCUCUGAUUUGGCGGUUCUUCGGUGCAAAUAUGACAGCUUUCUCUCUCAGCUCUUUUCUGCAUCUCUCCAUGUCCGACCCCGGAGCUCAGUUCUCGGUCUGCAAUUUCUACACCACAACCUUUGCAAUCACCACCACCACCACCACCACCACCCCUAGGUCCCAUGUCAGCAGGUGCCAGGUUGCUACAAAGGUGACAGGGCACAUUGGGAAGAAGGCUUGUUGAUUGCAGAAGAUACUUAUGCCCCGUAUUUC